CCUACGGGUGGCAGCAGUGGGGAAUAUUGGGCAAUGGAGGCAACUCUGACCCAGCAACGCCGCGUGAGUGAUGAAGGUCCUCGGAUUUUAAAACUCUUUAAGUGGGGACGAAGAAAGUGACGGUACCCACAGAAUAAGCCUCGGCUAACUACGUGCCAGCAGCCGCGGUAAUACGUAGGAGGCAAGCGUUAUCCGGAAUGACGGGGCGUAAAGGGUGCGUAGGUGGUUCGGCAAGUUAGUAGCGUAAUUCCGGGGCCCAACCUCGGAACGACUACUAAAACUGUUGGGAGUGGGUGCGGGAGGGGCAUAUGGAAUUCCGAGUGUAGCGGUGGAAUGCGUAGAUAUUAGGAAGAACCCCGGUGGCGAAGGCGAUAUGCUGGACUGUAACUGACACUGAGGCACGAAAGCGUGGGGAGCGAACAGGAUUAGAUACCCUUGUAGUC
RNAcentral lists this ribosomal RNA (443 nucleotides) under uncultured bacterium. Its description in RNAcentral is "partial 16S ribosomal RNA". It matches the Rfam family "Bacterial small subunit ribosomal RNA", at positions 338 to 795 of the family's 1533-position model. The record is from RNAcentral.